This 23-nucleotide ribosomal RNA is filed under the name Callicarpa macrophylla. RNAcentral describes it as "partial 28S ribosomal RNA". Lineage: Eukaryota; Viridiplantae; Streptophyta; Magnoliopsida; Lamiales; Lamiaceae. The record is from RNAcentral.
CGACCCCAGGUCAGGCGGGAUCA